GCAGCUGUAGCUCAUCUGGGAGAGCGUCAGACUGAAGUCCACUUUGGUCUUCCUAUAUAAGGAAAACAAUCUGAAGGCACUGUGUUCGAUCCACAGCAGCUGCA
Non-coding RNA from Echria macrotheca, 104 nucleotides. NCBI's taxonomy places the organism in Eukaryota, Fungi, Ascomycota, Sordariomycetes, Sordariales, Schizotheciaceae. The record is from the annotation of a GenBank genome assembly.